Molecule: long non-coding RNA, 670 nt
Organism: Juglans regia (Persian walnut)
Lineage: Eukaryota; Viridiplantae; Streptophyta; Magnoliopsida; Fagales; Juglandaceae
Exons: 3
Source: RefSeq, a predicted model, not a curated record
CUUCUUCCAGCCAGCAGAGCCAGCAGCCUCUUCUUCCUCCGACAGAGGCCAUUUCACUUUCGCCACCAUCUGGGACUACCGACGAGAAGCUAUCCACGACGGACCCACCGCCAACAUCAGCUUGCAUCGACGAGUCUUCAGCUCCACGUUCAACGUCACAGCUCGCUUCCAGAUCAGUGCUGCUUGUUCCAUUCUACGUGGAGCUCUCAUUUGAUGGUUUACCCCCUGUGUCAACUCUUGCAAAGAAAACAGAGCACCGAAAAUCACAGUAGAUAAAACUUGUAGAAAAAUAUUUGAUGACGAACAAGUUGGAGUUGCUGAGGUCCCAGCCCCCCAAGUUGGUGCUAAUGUUGAAGAUGUUGUUGUUGGAACCCAAUAUAGUAUUGUCACACAACAAACACCAUCGGGCAAUGAUGAGAAUUUGUGAAGCAUUGUUUAUGGGUUUCUUGAAGUAUUUCUAUUGAAGGUCGUGGUUGUAAAGAAUGUAUAGAUUUGUGGGUGUUCAAUGUGUAUGAAAAUCAUUAUUAUAUUUUUGAUGGGUUAUUUGAAGUAUUUUGUAAAAUGCUGGAGCCUUUUUGUUGGCGGUUGUGGUUGUAAAGAAUGUACAGAUAGUCGAAUGCAGUACUUGUAUAAAAAUCAUUAUUAUAUAAAUCAUAGAAAUCUUGAAGUA